This is a long non-coding RNA of Brassica napus (rape), 2180 nucleotides long. RefSeq lists it as uncharacterized. The transcript is spliced from 2 exons. Lineage: Eukaryota; Viridiplantae; Streptophyta; Magnoliopsida; Brassicales; Brassicaceae. The record is from RefSeq and is a predicted model, not a curated record.
GAACCUGAAAAUAUGUGGAUCCUUUUUUACUAGCUCAAUAGUUUAAAACUUUUUAACAAAAUAAGUUGGACCCUAUGCAAAUGUGCCACCUGUACAUGCACAUGCACAAAGCCGGUUCUGAUUAUCAGGUCAUGCUCUGGUGGCUAUAUAUGAAGAAUGUUUCAUCGCUAGUGGGUGUGAAGAUCUCAGGUAGAAACACAUAUAACGAAUGGACCUUAAGAAAGAGAGAUGGAGAAUAACUUAUCUAUUUCAUCAUGUACAUAUAUGAUCUAUACCUUUCAUGUGGGUAUGUUGUUUGCAUUCUUCAGACUUCACCCCCUGUUGGUUUUGCUUCAUUUUGAGUACAGUAGAACAUAAAUUUGAAUGCCAAAAAGAGAAAUAGAAAUAUACAUUUUUGGACAUUUUUUGCUUGUGUUGAUUGAUAUGGAUGCUUUAAAACGUCAAAGGCAGUUUUUUUUUCUGUUGCAAUCGCAGUUUCCAAGUCGGCGUUUUCCACCGUAUAAAACAGAAACGAAAGCGCCAAAAAAAAAAAAGAAACGUUGAUUAUCUCUCAGUCUCUGAUUCAUCUUCGUCUUCCUCUGAGAAGCUCGCACUUACCUUCCUUCUUCCAUCGCUCUUCCUCUCAUAAGGAGAUGCAAAGGAACGACCCAGUGGAUAGAAUCCCUCUGUUCGUAAGUGCUUUGAAUGGCGCCAUACUGGUCCCAUCUUUCAUGGCCAUCCCAGCAGACAUACCAGUUAACCUACGCCUCUCGAUGUUGCUUUUGGUCUUGUCCAUGCUGAGCGCUGCGUUGUCUUCUUUCCUUACGAGUGGUCUCAGAGGAAGAGCUUGGGGAAGAUGCGUGGGUGAUGGGUUGUUGUCUGCUGCAACGUUCUUUUUUAGUGGCAUCAUACCUCUGCUGUUCAGUGCAGUCUUGCCAGACCGAUUUGAUAGGAUACAAUUUCUCGUGGGGGUUACAUUUAUCAUGGUCGGAGCCAUCCUAGUUGUUUAUCUCGUGAUGAGGGAUAAGAAGAUGAUUCCACUGAUCCCACAAGAUGCCCCUUUCCCUUGGCUUGUAUUCUCCAUUGGCAUGGAUCCGUUUUGGUGGUACUAUUGGCUGGUAAGAUCAACGGCUUAAGGUCGGAGCUUUUCAAAGACACAUACGGCUGCGGUGGAUACAAUACUACUACUACUACACAAGCUAUUCUGAUACAGAGUACAUCAUAACAAGUAGUAAGAUGGAUCUUUUGCUUUGGGGUAUGGUGGUGAUAUUCUUCAUCUUCACAUGGACAUUAUGAGCUUCGGUUCCUCAUUUGAUUUUCUUCAUGUACAUAUGAGCUUCGGUUCCUUUUGGAAACUUUAAAUACAUCAUCUCACCUUGUUGUUUCCUCUCUAUGUUGUGGUUUUGAUUAGUUUGUAAAUAAAAAUUUCAUUUGAUCUUUCUUUGCCUUAUCUGUUACGCAAGCAGACUGAUAAUCUACAAAGAGUUUGUUUUUACAGCAGAACACAAUAUAUACUAGUAAAUACUGGGCAAGCAGACUGAUAAUCUACAAAGAGUUUGUUUUUACAGCUGUCCAAACUCUUUUUUAUCUCUUUGGGUAGGCGAAUAAACAAAAGUUGAAGAGGAAGACGCAUUAUUCAUGCUUCACCCACUGGACUUUUCUAGGCUCAGCUAGUUGCAGCAGCAGAUCCUCUCCAGCCAACACUUGCUUUCUUUCUCAAUGGAACAAAAGCACCCUUUGCAGCAGCACCAUCAACUGUAAUGGAUGCAGGAAGGCAACUGGUUUGUAAGGGAGUAUGUGCCAAAGGAAAAGUAGAUCCAGAGAAGUUAACUGAAAAUCCCAUUUAGUGUAUCAUCAAAACCUUCAUUUAGGUCGAAUUCAACUCUGGCUUCCAUCCAAGGAACAUCCUUGGCAACGGACGUACACUCCUCCGCUUCACCCCCAUCAGCACCACUAAACUAUCUAGACACACUAGGUCUCUUACAACUUGAGAACCUAUAGCCUUGGCGCACCUUUUUUCUACUUCAAUACUCUUAGUUACAGCUGUCACACGACGCUUGCUCUUCUUUUUAUCUGUUUGGUUCAUAUUCUCUAUAUACUAAAUCACAAGUCACCUAGCCAAUCAUAUUUUGACACAUAAUUUCUAUUUAGUAUUUAAAAAAAUUAUAAAAAAAAAGAGAACAAAGAUAAAAACAGAAAAC